GUUAAGGUCAAUGGGAAACUACAACAAUCCAGGCAGGACUAAAAAUGGCCCAGACUCUUCAGGAAUGAAGAUUUGGGACACUCCAUCAGACCACUCUGGCCCGCCACACCCUUAUCCUGUGCCUAUAUAAACCCUAAACUCCAUGAGCAGAGGAACAGAAGAGCAUAAGAGUGGCAGAGUGGCAGAGCGGCACAGCGGCGUGGCAGAGAGGGAGCAUCUGAAUGUCAAGAGGAGUUCAGCUGGGGAUGGUCAGAGAGAUCAGCUGCGGGAUGGCCAAACUCCAGGAAUCGCUUAAUCCUGAAGGUCUUGUGAGAAGACAUGGCGAGAAGUGGAGUCAAGAACACACCACGGUGGCAGAGAAAGGAAAAGAGCAGGAUAAAUAGCUUUGUAAACCUACUACACAGAGAAGGUUGCCUUGAUGAUUCUCAUCAAAGCUAUUAGAAAAUUUAUUUUAAACAUAAAAAUUGUCAGAAGAUACUGUUCCACACACUGCAGGUCUAAUAGUCACUACCCAAAUGUAAGAUAAUUAAAAGGAAUGAUUUGUUGCAUUCUAUUUAACAAUAUAAGUUACCAGUGAGAACUAGUGACAAGAUGAUAGCCUCGCCAUGUCCAGAUUCAAACUCCUGGCAUAUCUGCCACUCACAGGAAAUGCAACUUUACUCCUGUUGCUUUUACUUCUGCUAAUGAGACCAUUAUCCUCCUAGAUAUCUGACUUUUCAACCUCAAAAGUGUGUUUAAAUUCCUCUCUCUUUUUUCCCUUCAAAAUCUCAUUAGUCAUGAUGAGUUGUAGACUUACUACUUCUAAAAUAUCUCUGAUAUUUUAGAUAUCUCUGAUAUCCCUUCUGUUUUAUUCUCACUGCCACUUCAUUCGUUUAAAUCCUAUUACCUUAUCUGGACUAUUCCUGUAACUUCUAAAUUGGCCUAUUUGCUUCCAGGCUGUCUCUGCCCAAGCCAAACCACAUACCGUUGCCAUAGGAACCUUCCUAAGGAACAGCUCUAAUCACUUUAUUCUCUGAUCAAACGCUUUCAGUGGGCUCUGCUUUGCCUACAGGAUAGCUCAGCAUAACAUACCAGAUUAUCCAAAAAUUGUUUUCAAACUCUUCCACUAAACCUUCCUAUUCACCAUCACCUGUCAUCACCUGGAACUUGCCAUUGGUCUAACAAUCAUAGCCAGCAUCUUGAGAUUUUUUGUUUUCCAUGACGCAUAUCCAUAGGUAACAAUAAUGAUUCCCUCUUAAAUUGCCAUAGGAUUUGCUUCUGAAUAUUGCUGCACUUUAUGUGUUCUAGCUUGCAUUACAAACACACACACACACAUACACAUAUAAUAUAGCAUAUAUGCAUACACACACACACAUAUAUAUAUUUAUGUAAAUUUCUGUUAUGUUCUUCAUCAUUAGCUUUCAAAGUUUUGUUCAAGGGAACCCUAGGAUCUAGUCAGAUGCAAGAAGGAUUACUAUAAGAGCACACAGAGGCCUGGAGAGGACCGAUGAUAGCAUGGCUCUUAACCUCCCAUAAUCUCCCUCCACCAAAAUAGCUCUUAUUUUAUUAUUAUUAUUAUUUUUAAAUAAAGUAUCAUCUGGAAUUCAAUUUUAUUUUUAAUGGCUUUUUAAAAUUUGUGGAUGUUGUCUUCCAAGUUUAAGAGGUUUCCUACACGCACCUUCUAGAUACCCAUACUGACUAGAGAUCCGAAACAGAAUAUCUCAGGAUACUCCAAAAUCGAAUUUCACCAUGAAAGAACUAUCUUCCCCAAUAUCUUCAGAUCAAGCAUCCAAGUAGACAUGGUGGCCUCUUCCCAAGACUUUUUGAUCAUGGCACCCAUACUACAAGCCUCUGAUUAUGACAGCCAUUUUUGUCUUUUUCUCUUCUUUACAUUGUCAUCUCUUCCCCUCUCUCUUCCUCUAAAAUUUUCCAUUGCUAAAAUGAUGUUUUAAAGUUUCUUCUCCCAAUCUCUGUUCUCUAAGCAGAUCAAGACAGUGAACACAACUCUAUGGAUUUCAAGCCAGCCUUAUCAAUAAACUCCAGAAGGGAUAGGAUUUAUUCUCCUAGAUGAUCCCAGAUGGGGCAGGAUUUUGUCUAAGAAGCAUCAUUCCAAAUCUUCUGAUAAUUCUUAUGUUAAUGAAACUGCCUUCGCAAAAUUAUGACUGAGACAGUGAAAGAGAUUUAACUUGAUCGACACUAUCUUGCUUCUAACUUACAAGCUGUUCUUGUUUAUUCCUCUGCGUAGGCUGAACUAACUUUGGGAGAAACUCAGUUUAUAGUUUAAAGUUUAAAACAAAGAUGAUAACAGCCCUUUCCCAAAGCAGGCCUUUUUCUUGCCUGGGGACUAGGUUGCCUUUGCAGGACUAAUAUUAGCCAAAAGAUUAGAAAUUAUGGUUUAGGAGUCAUGCAGCUGGAGGCUACAAGAUUCUGACCCUCUCUAAACUACUCCUAAGGUGAGUGCUUGAGAUAGUUUGAAGAUCCUGCACUUGAUGGAUCAGCUGGCACCACCCAGUUGGAUUAACUGGCUCGUCUGAUCUUGCGGCCCCUACCCAGGAACUGACUCAGCACAAGAAGACAGCUUUGACUCUCUAUGAUUUUGUCUCUGACCAAUCAGUGCUCCUGGCUCACUGGCCUCCCCCAACCCAUCAAGUUGUCCUUGAAAACUUUGUUCCCCAAAUGCUUGGGGAGACUGAUUUGAGUAAUAAUAAAACUCUGUUCUCCUGCACAGCCAGAUCUAUGUGAAUUACUCUUUCUCUACUGCAAUUCCCCUGUCUUGAGAAAUUGGCUCUGUCUAGGCAGCAGGCAAGAUGAACCCACUGGGUGGUUACAUUAACUCUUGUUUUUUCCAUAGUUGACUGUACUUUCUCUGGAUUCAUAAAUGCUUCAGAACAACUACUAACUCAACAAAUGAUUGAAGUUUAACUACAAAGACAAAAGUCACAAGAAGUCCUGAUGGAAGUGCUCAGAAAAC
This 2950-nucleotide long non-coding RNA is filed under the name Homo sapiens (human). RNAcentral describes it as "HSALNT0024696". The record is from RNAcentral. Lineage: Eukaryota; Metazoa; Chordata; Mammalia; Primates; Hominidae.